CAGUAGCCGCGGGAAUACGAAGGGGGCUAGCGUUGUUCGGAUUUACUGGGCGUAAAGCGCACGUAGGCGGACUUUUAAGUCAGGGGUGAAAUCCCGGGGCUCAACCCCGGAACUGCCUUUGAUACUGGGAGUCUUGAGUUCGAGAGAGGUGAGUGGAAUUGCGAGUGUAGAGGUGAAAUUCGUAGAUAUUCGCAGGAACACCAGUAGCGAAGGCGGCCCACUGGCUCGAUACUGACGCUGAGGUGCGAAAGCGUGGGGAGCAAACAGGAUUAGAUACCCCCGUAGUCCCUGUCUCUUAUAC
RNAcentral lists this ribosomal RNA (301 nucleotides) under uncultured bacterium. RNAcentral's name for it is "partial 16S ribosomal RNA". It matches the Rfam family "Bacterial small subunit ribosomal RNA", at positions 509 to 807 of the family's 1533-position model. The record is from RNAcentral.